This 25-nucleotide non-coding RNA is filed under the name Mus musculus (house mouse). Lineage: Eukaryota; Metazoa; Chordata; Mammalia; Rodentia; Muridae. The record is from RNAcentral.
UGAUCUCUUUGUGCCCACGUGUCCC